Nycticebus coucang (slow loris) is the source of this 86-nucleotide small nucleolar RNA. The record is from RefSeq and is a predicted model, not a curated record. NCBI's taxonomy places the organism in Eukaryota, Metazoa, Chordata, Mammalia, Primates, Lorisidae.
UGGAGGUGAUGAACAGUCUUAGCCUGACCUUAGUCGAGUGGAGGCAAAAAAAGAAAAAAGAAAUAGUUAUUAAGCUUGAUUAUUCC